This is an RNA transcript of Camelus dromedarius (Arabian camel), 1286 nucleotides long. It is a transcript of the gene named regulated endocrine specific protein 18, with no coding region annotated. The record is from RefSeq and is a predicted model, not a curated record. NCBI's taxonomy places the organism in Eukaryota, Metazoa, Chordata, Mammalia, Artiodactyla, Camelidae. The transcript is spliced from 6 exons.
GAAGUAGGGGCUGGAUAGGAGUCCGCAGGCGCAGGGCCCGCCAGUGAUUGGCCCAGCUGCCAAGGGAGGGUUGUGCAGAUCCCGUUUCGCUAGCGGGUGGGAAGCCACAGCCCCGCUCAGUCCCUCAGGCAGCUGUCCCUACCUUCUCUGCGACUUAGGAGGGGAGCCAGCGCGCCAAGCCCAGGAGGAUGCAGUGCCUGCUGUGGCCUGGGGGCUCCCGGGGGCUCUGGCUGCUCCUCUGUUUCCUGCUUCUGAACAGCCGCCCAGGGGGCUGCAGCGACAUUGGUGGCCACGAUGGUCAGAGCCAAGUGGGAGUGGGGCAGCUCUGGUCCCUCCAAGGAUUUACUACCCCAGUCUUCCAACACUUGCAAGUUUUCUUCCAGCAGAUUGUGCCUCAAGGUUUGUUCUGGAAGGAUGACAUGACCCAGAAUGUGAUGAUCCAGAAGAUGGGACACAUUAGCAAACUCCAUCCCCAGGAUCCAUGUAUGAGGGUUGGGCAGGCAGCCUUUCCCACCAAAACCACUGGGAUGAGGUAUGUGAGGCCUAUGGUCAGUCCAUGCUGUCUGGCUGACAGACAGAGCAAGGAGGGAGCUGGCAUCAAUGCAGGGGCAAGCAAGAGGAGAAACUUCGACUCUUAUUCCCCAAGAGCCCAAUGGCCAAGGUGAACAAAGAUCAGUGCUUUACCUCCAGAGUGGUUUCAAAGGCCUUGAAACAAGAGGUGGCCAACCCUGUCAAGGGCUUCUUUGAGUCACCCUCUGCUGUAGGCCACAACCUUGUCGCUGACUGAGACCUCGUGCAAGGCUCUUUGCCCCAGUGCCCUCCCCAUUGCCCUCCAGGGAAGUAGUUCCAGGAUGAAUCUCCAACAUUAAAGUGACUUUCAUGCAAACUCUCUGUGACUUGCCCUGAGGCAGGAUGGGCGGGGUUUGGACCUGGCUAGAGUCCUCUAAGUGAGAGAGGCAGGACCUGAACAGGGGGUGGGGUGAGAAGAACAAAGCGCCUUGGUGCUGCUCAAAGGCUGCUUUCUGUCCUGUUUUCCCUCCUGAAGUAGGGAAAGUGAGGAUGGGACCACACCUAGCCUUCUCUGCCCACAUCUGGUGAUGCUCUAUGAUCCAGUUGCCCACCCAUCCUUCCAUGUCAGACUUGCUUGGAUGGUGCUGUUCUAUGAGGGUCUCCACCUCCAGCAUUACAGCCCCUGCCAAGGCUCUCCCAUUCUUUGUGCUUCCAAGAAUCAACGUAAAAGUGCUGUGAUCAAAGUGUACACACAUUAAAUGUUUUGCUGACUCUUG